UGUCUUCGGGUAAUUUGAAUUUCCCAAAGGAAAUAACUUACGCCAAGUUUCGUCUCGCUAUCAUUGCCAUGAUACGGUUGCUUGAUAUUGAUUUUGACAAUGGGUUUUUUUGUGAAUUAUGUGGAAGAAUUCCUCAGAAGGUGGUGAUGGAUGGAACAACUCUUGGAAUACAGAAAACUUUCUUACCAAAUAAUUUAAGAGAGUCUGAUACUGGAUUGCUAGAUGGAAGAUAAGUAUUUUUGAAGUUUAUCUGUAAUAUAUAAUAUAUACAGGUCUGCUAAUUAGUAAA
This is a long non-coding RNA of Xenia sp. Carnegie-2017, 289 nucleotides long. RefSeq lists it as uncharacterized. The record is from RefSeq and is a predicted model, not a curated record. NCBI's taxonomy places the organism in Eukaryota, Metazoa, Cnidaria, Anthozoa, Malacalcyonacea, Xeniidae. The transcript has 2 exons.